This 460-nucleotide ribosomal RNA is filed under the name uncultured bacterium. Its description in RNAcentral is "partial 16S ribosomal RNA". It matches the Rfam family "Bacterial small subunit ribosomal RNA", at positions 338 to 795 of the family's 1533-position model. The record is from RNAcentral.
CCUACGGGUGGCAGCAGUGAGGAAUAUUGGUCAAUGGACGCAAGCCUGAACCAGCCACGCCGCGUGCAGGAAGACGGCCCUAUGAGUUGUAAACUGCUUUUGUACGAGGGUAAAUCUCGAUACGUGUCUAGGGUUGAAAGUAUCGUACGAAUAAGGAUCGGCUAACUCCGCUCCAGCCGCCGCGGUAAUACGGAGGAUUCAAGCGUUAUCCGGAUUGAUUGGGUUUAAAGGGUGCGUAGGCGGUUCGAUAAGUUAGAGGUGAAAUCCCGGGGCUCAACUCCGGCACUGCCUCUGAUACUGUCGGGCUAGAGUUUAGUUGCGGUAGGCGGAAUGUAUGGUGUAGCGGUGAAAUGCAUAGAGAUCAUACAGAACACCGAUUGCGAAGGCAGCUUACCAAACUACGACUGACGUUGAGGCACGAAAGCGUGGGGAGCAAACAGGAUUAGAUACCCGAGUAGUC